CCUCUGUUAAAACACCCAGGCGCAAGAGGCACUCAGAGAUGGCACCCGGAUGGCCUGUUUCUCAGGCGAGCCCCAGCCCCUGAGCACCUCUCCACGAGACCCCAGCCCCACAUCCCUCCUCCUGGGGCCUGAGGCUGGUGCAGAUGCUCAGCACCUGCUAGGGCAGGAGGAGGUUCUCAGGUAGAGGCCUUGCUGAAGGCCCCAAAGCUAAUGGUGGCAGAGCCAGAACUAGAUUCCAGCCCCAGCCCCCUUUCCAAACGACCAUGCUUCUCCAUUAAAAGGUAGGACACUCUUACUUUAGCCCUUAGAAUAUGAAAACAUUUUCUCUGAAGUCAAAGGCUGUUAUAGUUAAAAAUCUGCUUCUAACUAUGAAGGAGUGACCUCCUCAUCACACCGGAACCCAGCCAAACCAGGGAUGCUCAAAGAACACAGUAGAAGAAAGAGGCUCUCAUCCUCAUACCCUCCAGGUCACACCAAACAGCAAGCAAACCCCAUCUCACUCUCCCAGGGUUUUUGAAUGCUCCCGAACAUAACAAAGUCUGCUGAAACUCAGCCCCAUGGGCUCCCGUGCAGCGCAGCUGCUGGGCUGCAGACCUGGCCAGUGCGCCCUGCAGCUCCUCCUCCUUCUUGGCCAGCUGCAGCUUGAGCUCAUCAAUCUGCGCCUGCAGCUCUGCGAUCUGGUCCUGCAGGUCGGUCGUCUCCCCGUCGAGUUUUCUUUUGGCCUUUUCCAGUUCCUGACGAGUCUUUUCUUCCUUCUUUAAGCGUUCUUUAAGGUAAGACAUAAGAAGCUCUUCAACACACCGAGUGACUCACCACAGGAAUAAACUAAAAUACAGACUGAUCCAAGUUGAAAAUAAGCCAUUUUAUUCAAAAGCAUGUCACUGCCCUGAUGACAUGGUCAUGCGCUGAUGUCAACUGCUCAGUCAUUUCAAACCCACCGAGAUCUGGAGGGGAGAUAAAUUAGUGUGGGGAGGGAAUUUUAAGGAAGAAGUUGAGUGUCCUAAGAAUGUCCUUUCAUGGGAGGUGAGACCACACUGUGAGAGCCGAAGGGAGCUGGAAUCCUCUCAUGUCAAACACAUCACUGUACCCAGGUUUGCAAAGUGGCUCAGCAGGUGCUGGGGCAGCAAUCGUAGCUGCCUGUCACCCCAUUCCCUUUUCCAUGGGAACCCCUGUUCUGAACCAAGAAAACUGCCAUCCUCGAGUACUGGGAGAGAGGAGACAGAAGAGUGGGCAGAGAGGGCCAGGCCUUUUCUCCACCCUCCCCUCUAAAAUUCUGCAGUGAUCUCUCAGUUAGCCCUAGUGAUCUAUUUCACUGAAUGAUUUAUUUCCUCACAACAACCUGUAUGCCUUUGUGUUCUCCACCAGGAACCAAUUUGCUGAGAGGAUGAGACCGAGUGUCACAGGCUGAUCAAACAGGUCAACUUUGACUCGAGAGAAAAUAAGUUCUAUCGGCACUGCCUCCCCCAGCAGACUGUACACAAUCACAUGCUGCAGAACGAUGUUUUGGACAAUGAUGAACCGGAUACACGACAGUGGUCUCCUAAGAUGAUCAUGGAGCUGAAAACUUCAUCGAGAGCUGUCAUAACACCACAGUGCAAUUACUCUAUUUUUAAAAUAAAUGUACUGCAGCCUCAGUGUGCCAUGUUGAUAAAGUCUGCAGUCAUGUACAGCAAUGUCCUAGGCCUUCACAUUCACUCAGCGCUCACUCACUGACUCACCCAGAGCAGCUUCCAGUCCUGCAAGCUCCGUUCAUGACAUAGGAAGGUGACAGUACCGGGAACCUCAUCGAAAACAGGUGUUAAGUACAUGCUUGACACCAAGAAUAACAAAAGCAAAGAUGCAAGAGCUCUUUCCUAUGGGUUUUUCCUGAUCAGACUCUGCUAUUUGAAAGGGAUCUGGAAAGAAGUGAGCCAAGCUCACCUUUGUGAAGACUCGCCACCACUGCCAGUGCCGUAAUUUCAGGUACGCG
Molecule: long non-coding RNA, 1969 nt
Organism: Homo sapiens (human)
Lineage: Eukaryota; Metazoa; Chordata; Mammalia; Primates; Hominidae
Exons: 5
Source: RefSeq, a predicted model, not a curated record